Molecule: ribosomal RNA, 667 nt
Filed under: Clostridium botulinum C/D
Lineage: Bacteria; Bacillati; Bacillota; Clostridia; Eubacteriales; Clostridiaceae
Description: partial 23S ribosomal RNA
Rfam family: Bacterial large subunit ribosomal RNA
Source: RNAcentral
UAACUUAGGGAGAAGGGGUGCCUACGAGAGUAGGCCGCAGUGAAUAGGCUCAAGCAACUGUUUAUCAAAAACACAGGUCUCUGCUAAAGCGUAAGCUGAUGUAUAGGGGCUGACGCCUGCCCGGUGCUGGAAGGUUAAGGGGAAUAGUUAGCGCAAGCGAAGCUAUGAACUUAAGCCCCAGUAAACGGCGGCCGUAACUAUAACGGUCCUAAGGUAGCGAAAUUCCUUGUCGGGUAAGUUCCGACCCGCACGAAUGGCGUAAUGAUUUGAGCACUGUCUCGGCAAUAAAUCCGGUGAAAUUGUAGUGCAAGUGAAGAUGCUUGCUACCCGCGGUUGGACGGAAAGACCCCGUAGAGCUUUACUGUAGCUUAGCAUUGAAUUUCGGUAUUGUCUGUACAGGAUAGGUGGGAGACUUAGAAGCGAGGGCGUCAGCUUUCGUGGAGUCGUCCUUGGGAUACCACCCUGACAGUACUGGAAUUCUAACUGGAGGCCAUGAAUCUGGUCACAGGACAUUGCUAGGUGGGCAGUUUGACUGGGGCGGUCGCCUCCUAAAAGGUAACGGAGGCGCCCAAAGGUUCCCGCAGCGCGGGCGGAAAUCGCGCGUAGAGUGCAAAGGCAGAAGGGAGCCUGACUGCGACACAUACAGGUGGAGCAGGGACGAAAGUCG